RNAcentral lists this ribosomal RNA (381 nucleotides) under uncultured eukaryote. RNAcentral's name for it is "partial 18S ribosomal RNA". It matches the Rfam family "Eukaryotic small subunit ribosomal RNA", at positions 592 to 976 of the family's 1831-position model. The record is from RNAcentral.
CAAUAGCGUAUAUUAAAGUUGUUGCGGUAAAAAAGCUCGUAGUUGGAUUUCUACCGAAGAUAGCCGGUCGGGUCUUCGACCUUGUAUCUGGUUUUGUCUUUGGUAUCCUCAUAGGGAACGUUUCUGCGCUUUAUUGCGUGGGGCGGUAUCUAUGACUUUUACUUUGAGGAAAUUAGAGUGUUCACGGCAGGCAAACGCCUUGAAUAUAUUAGCAUGGAAUAAUAACAUAGGAUCUUCGUCCUAUUUUGUUGGUUUCUAGGGCUAAGAUAAUGAUUAAUAGGGAUAAUUGGGGGCAUCUGUAUCAACGCGUCAGAGGUGGAAUUCUUGGAUUGCGUUGCGACAAACUACUGCGAAAGCAUUUGCCAAGGAUGUUUUCAUUGA